GACGAACGCUGGCGGCGUGCCUAAUACAUGCGAGUAGAACGCACAGUUUAUACCGUAGCUUGCUACACCAUAGACUGUGAGUUGCGAACGGGUGAGUAACGCGUAGGUAACCUGCCUGGUAGCGGGGGAUAACUAUUGGAAACGAUAGCUAAUACCGCAUAAUAUUAAUUAUUGCAUGAUAAUUGAUUGAAAGAUGCAACUGCAUCACUACCAGAUGGACCUGCGUUGUAUUAGCUAGUAGGUGAGGUAACGGCUCACCUAGGCGACGAUACAUAGCCGACCUGAGAGGGUGAUCGGCCACACUGGGACUGAGACACGGCCCAGACUCCUACGGGAGGCAGCAGUAGGGAAUCUUCGGCAAUGGACGAAAGUCUGACCGAGCAACGCCGCGUGAGUGAAGAAGGUUUUCGGAUCGUAAAGCUCUGUUGUAAGAGAAGAACGGGUGUGAGAGUGGAAAGUUCACACUGUGACGGUAUCUUACCAGAAAGGGACGGCUAACUACGUG
Molecule: ribosomal RNA, 505 nt
Filed under: uncultured bacterium
Lineage: Bacteria
Description: partial 16S ribosomal RNA
Rfam family: Bacterial small subunit ribosomal RNA
Source: RNAcentral